RNAcentral lists this ribosomal RNA (497 nucleotides) under uncultured bacterium. Its description in RNAcentral is "partial 16S ribosomal RNA". It matches the Rfam family "Bacterial small subunit ribosomal RNA", at positions 28 to 507 of the family's 1533-position model. The record is from RNAcentral.
GAUGAACGCUGGCGGCGUGCCUAACACAUGCAAGUCGAGCGAUCGGACGAGAAGCUUGCUUCUCUGAUACUAGUGGCGGACGGGUGAGUAACACGUGGAUAGCCUAGCUUUAAUACUGGGAUAACUUCGGGAAACCGUAGCUGACACCGGAUAAUAUUCUGAACCUCACGGUUCAUCAGUGAAAGACGGUCUUGCUGUCACUUAUAGAUGGAUCCACGCUGCAUUAGCUAGUUGGUAAGGUAACGGCUUACCAAGGCAACGAUGCAUAGCCGACCUGAGAGGAUGAUCGGCCACACUGGGACUGAGACACGGUCCAGACUCCUACGGGAGGCAGCAGUGGGGAAUCUUCCGCAAUGGGCGCAAGCCUGACGCAGCCAUGCCGCGUGAGUGAAGAAGGUCUUCGGGUCGUAAAACUCUUUUAUUAGGGAAGAACAGAUUUUGGAUAAACUGUGCACAUCUUGACGGUACCUAAACAAAAAGCCACGGCUAACUACGUG